Non-coding RNA from Potamilus streckersoni, 74 nucleotides. NCBI's taxonomy places the organism in Eukaryota, Metazoa, Mollusca, Bivalvia, Unionida, Unionidae. The record is from the annotation of a GenBank genome assembly.
GCUUCGGUGGUCUAAGUGGUUAGAAUGUCUGCUUUGGAUGCGAGAAAUCGCGGGUUCGAACCACGGCCGAGUCU